AGUUGUAUCCUGGCUCAGGAUGAACGCUGGCGAGAUGCUUUACACAUGCAAGUCGUACGCGAGUCUUUGACUCGAGUGGCGGACGGGUGAGUAACACGUAAGAAUUUGCCUUUAGGAGGGGGACAACAACUGGAAACGGUUGCUAAUACCCCAUAUGCUUUCGAGUGAAAUGGAUUUUUUCCGCCUAGAGAGAAGCUUGCGGCUGAUUAGCUUGUUGGUGAGGUAAUGGCUUACCAAGGCGACGAUCAGUAUCUGGUUUGAGAGGACGAUCAGACACACUGGAACUGAGACACGGUCCAGACUCCUACGGGAGGCAGCAGUGGGGAAUUUUCCGCAAUGGGCGCAAGCCUGACGGAGCAAUCUCGCGUGAGGGAUGACUGCCUAUGGGUUGUAAACCUCUUUUUUCAGGGAGGAAUAAAUGACGUGUACCUGAAGAAUAAGCAUCGGCUAACUCCGUGCCAGCAGCCGCGGUAAUACGGAGGAUGCAAGUGUUAUCCGGAAUCACUGGGCGUAAAGCGUCUGUAGGUGGUUUAAUAAGUCAACUGUUAAAUCUUGAGGCUCAACUUCAAAAUCGCAGUCGAAACUAUUAGACUAGAGUAUAGUAGGGGUAAAGGGAAUUUCCAGUGGAGCGGUGAAAUGCGUAGAGAUUGGAAAGAACACCGAUGGCGAAGGCACUUUACUGGGCUAUUACUGACACUCAGAGACGAAAGCUAGGGUAGCAAAUGGGAUUAGAUACCCCCAGUAGUCCUAGCUGUAACAAUGGAUACUAGAUGUUGAACAGAUCGACCUGUGCAGUAUCAAGCUAACGCGUU
Molecule: ribosomal RNA, 812 nt
Filed under: uncultured bacterium
Lineage: Bacteria
Description: bacterial SSU rRNA
Rfam family: Bacterial small subunit ribosomal RNA
Source: RNAcentral